This 333-nucleotide ribosomal RNA is filed under the name uncultured bacterium. RNAcentral describes it as "bacterial SSU rRNA". It matches the Rfam family "Bacterial small subunit ribosomal RNA", at positions 28 to 346 of the family's 1533-position model. The record is from RNAcentral.
GACGAACGCUGGCGGCGUGCUUAACACAUGCAAGUCGAGCGGUAAGGCCCUUUCGGGGGUACGACGAGCGGCGAACGGGUAGGAGUAACAACGUGGGUGGACCUCGCCCUCCAGCUCUGGGAGUAAGCCUGGGAAACCGGGGUACCGUAAUAACCGGAUAUGACUCCAUGACGCAUGUUGUGGGGUGGAAAGCCUUGUGCGGCUGAGGAUGGGCCCGGCGGCCUAUCAGCUUGUUGGUGGGGGUGAUGGCCUACCAAGGCGACGACGGGUAGCCGGCCUGAGAGGGCGGACCGGCCACACUGGGACUGAGACACGGCCCAGACUCCUACGGGA